Molecule: ribosomal RNA, 1479 nt
Filed under: Bacteroides uniformis
Lineage: Bacteria; Pseudomonadati; Bacteroidota; Bacteroidia; Bacteroidales; Bacteroidaceae
Description: bacterial SSU rRNA
Rfam family: Bacterial small subunit ribosomal RNA
Source: RNAcentral
AGAGUUUGAUCCUGGCUCAGGAUGAACGCUAGCUACAGGCUUAACACAUGCAAGUCGAGGGGCAGCAUGAACUUAGCUUGCUAAGUUUGAUGGCGACCGGCGCACGGGUGAGUAACACGUAUCCAACCUGCCGAUGACUCGGGGAUAGCCUUUCGAAAGAAAGAUUAAUACCCGAUGGCAUANAUUUCGGUCAUCGAUGGGGAUGCGUUCCAUUAGGUUGUUGGCGGGGUAACGGCCCACCAAGCCUUCGAUGGAUAGGGGUUCUGAGAGGAAGGUCCCCCACAUUGGAACUGAGACACGGUCCAAACUCCUACGGGAGGCAGCAGUGAGGAAUAUUGGUCAAUGGACGAGAGUCUGAACCAGCCAAGUAGCGUGAAGGAUGACUGCCCUAUGGGUUGUAAACUUCUUUUAUACGGGAAUAAAGUGAGGCACGUGUGCCUUUUUGUAUGUACCGUAUGAAUAAGGAUCGGCUAACUCCGUGCCAGCAGCCGCGGUAAUACGGAGGAUCCGAGCGUUAUCCGGAUUUAUUGGGUUUAAAGGGAGCGUAGGCGGACGCUUAAGUCAGUUGUGAAAGUUUGCGGCUCAACCGUAAAAUUGCAGUUGAUACUGGGUGUCUUGAGUACAGUAGAGGCAGGCGGAAUUCGUGGUGUAGCGGUGAAAUGCUUAGAUAUCACGAAGAACUCCGAUUGCGAAGGCAGCUUGCUGGACUGUAACUGACGCUGAUGCUCGAAAGUGUGGGUAUCAAACAGGAUUAGAUACCCUGGUAGUCCACACAGUAAACGAUGAAUACUCGCUGUUUGCGAUAUACAGUAAGCGGCCAAGCGAAAGCGUUAAGUAUUCCACCUGGGGAGUACGCCGGCAACGGUGAAACUCAAAGGAAUUGACGGGGGCCCGCACAAGCGGAGGAACAUGUGGUUUAAUUCGAUGAUACGCGAGGAACCUUACCCGGGCUUGAAUUGCAACUGAAUGAUGUGGAGACAUGUCAGCCGCAAGGCAGUUGUGAAGGUGCUGCAUGGUUGUCGUCAGCUCGUGCCGUGAGGUGUCGGCUUAAGUGCCAUAACGAGCGCAACCCUUAUCGAUAGUUACCAUCAGGUUAUGCUGGGGACUCUGUCGAGACUGCCGUCGUAAGAUGUGAGGAAGGUGGGGAUGACGUCAAAUCAGCACGGCCCUUACGUCCGGGGCUACACACGUGUUACAAUGGGGGGUACAGAAGGCAGCUACACGGCGACGUGAUGCUAAUCCCUAAAGCCUCUCUCAGUUCGGAUUGGAGUCUGCAACCCGACUCCAUGAAGCUGGAUUCGCUAGUAAUCGCGCAUCAGCCACGGCGCGGUGAAUACGUUCCCGGGCCUUGUACACACCGCCCGUCAAGCCAUGAAAGCCGGGGGUACCUGAAGUGCGUAACCGCAAGGAGCGCCCUAGGGUAAAACUGGUGAUUGGGGCUAAGUCGUAACAAGGUAGCCGUACCGGAAGGUGCGGCUG